RNAcentral lists this ribosomal RNA (253 nucleotides) under uncultured bacterium. RNAcentral describes it as "partial 16S ribosomal RNA". It matches the Rfam family "Bacterial small subunit ribosomal RNA", at positions 524 to 776 of the family's 1533-position model. The record is from RNAcentral.
GACAGAGGAUGCAAGCGUUAUCCGGAAUGAUUGGGCGUAAAGCGUCUGUAGGUGGCUUUUUAAGUCUGCCGUCAAAUCCCAGGGCUUAACCCUGGACAGGCAGUGGAAACGACCAAGCUGGAGUACGGUAGGGGCAGAGGGAAUUUCCGGUGGAGCGGUGAAAUGCGUAGAGAUCGGAAAGAACACCAACGGCGAAAGCACUCUGCUGGGCCGGCACUGACACUGAGAGACGAAAGCUAGGGGAGCGAAUGGG